Dipodomys ordii (Ord's kangaroo rat) is the source of this 128-nucleotide small nucleolar RNA. NCBI's taxonomy places the organism in Eukaryota, Metazoa, Chordata, Mammalia, Rodentia, Heteromyidae. The record is from Ensembl.
GUGUAGGUUGGAUUUAUGGCAGGCCCAUCCCCCUGGGCUUCUCAGUAUCAUGCCAAAGCAAACUGUGGCCCCGAACCAUUGCCUGGUCUCUCCCUGUGCACUGUAGGCACUGAAGGGGAUACAGAGGA